RNAcentral lists this long non-coding RNA (10594 nucleotides) under Sorghum bicolor (sorghum). RNAcentral describes it as "long non-coding RNA (SBIC_LNC003607)". The record is from RNAcentral. Lineage: Eukaryota; Viridiplantae; Streptophyta; Magnoliopsida; Poales; Poaceae.
AUCUCAUCCACUCAAAAUGAAUCGACCUUGGUCAUUGUGUAUGAUGAUGGUCAUUGUGUUUUCAUGUAAUCAUCAAGUUUGAGGAUCAUUGGGUACAACCACAAGUUAGGCUACCUAGGUGAGGUUGGUCGAUCCUCCUAUGGGCCCAUCUUGCUCCAUUUUGUUCCAAUUUUUACCUAUGGCCAAAUACACACGAAAAACAUGUGGAACCCAAACAAAUAAAUCCUAUCACUAUAUGGAGGUGACCAUGGAAUAUGUAAUUUUAAUAUUAUGUUGAUAGUAAAAAUUUAGUAAUAAGAACAACAAAUAGAGGGCAUUGCUAGCACCAAUAUUAUCAUGUCAUGUUUCUAUAGUAUUCUUUCAAAGAAGCAGGAUAAGUUGGAAGAAGGGGGACAUUGUUUGUUAUUAUCGUGCACUAUAACAAUUGCUCCAUGUGACAGUUUGCUAUCAAGAAGGGGAGAAUGAUAGAACAUUAGUCCUUUGGAUACAAAUAUCCCUCCUCAAGAUGGGUGAAUUACUAGAGUUCAAGGAAGACAGUUUACUCUCUAAGUGACCUUAGUCUUAAGUACUUUUUUAUAUUAUGUUAAUAGAUUGCUAGCUAAUAAUGAUAUUAUUAUCCUUAGGGACUAUGGAGAUAUAAAGGAGUACUUGGAGAGAUGCAUGGAGGUGGAGAAGAUUGAGAUGGGUGUCCAAGCCAAGUUGGAGGCCCAAACCAUAUCAAUUUUGAGUCUACCUCAGACUCCAAGAGUCAUCCGCAUUAAAAUCAUCAUUCAGAUCGCACAUACGAGCUCCCUUUUUAUGUUCUGCAUUAGCAUGGAAAGCAAAGAAGAUAAGAAUUCCAAAUGGCGUCAGUCUCAUACUAAUUCCUUACAAGUCAUGAGGAAUCCUCAAAACCAGUGAGAGUCCAAAGUUUAUCAAGGUGCUAUGCAUCAUCUUCUGGUCAUUGAGCCAUUACCAUAUCAAAGUCCACUAAGGAUGCAUAUAGGGUACAUGGCUGCCCCUUAUACCGUAUAUUCACUAGAUAAUGACCAAGUUUGGGUUUAGAUUUUUCUUAGGUUAAUAUUUCAUCAAAUAAUAUCAUCAUACAUUAGUUUUAGGAACCCUAACUUGUGAAUUUAAUCAUUCUUCUACAGUUUGGUUUGUGUCAAUAUUGGUCUCUCUUGUGUUCUUGAUUCACAGACAGGGAUUAGCCUUCAUGGCUAGGUCAAUUGGGUAGAGCACAACUGAUGACCAGAGGAGAUGUGGUGCUAUGAUUGUAGGGGUUUAGGUCUUUGUGAUUUAAAAUCAUAUCAUGUGUGUCAAUUCUCCACCAAAUUAGAAGUUAUAUUCACAUUGAUAGCAGAACAUUGGGAACCCUCAUUCUCAUCAAGUCAGAAAAAAUUGCUUUGGUUAUCCUUCGAGCAAAAAUAGCUUUACACCCCAUAUUGAUUCAAGUCUAGGAGCAUUUAUGUACUUGCUUUGGUUUUUAUCUUAACUUUCUUUGUUCCUUGAACCCCCACUAUUGAGGAUUAUAUUUGUAAGUUGUAAAUAGUUUUAUCAAUAAAAUUCUAGUAGGGGGUAAAACCGUCAUGUUUCCUCAAAAAAAUUGCCACCAAAUUGGGAGUAAUCUUCAACUGAUAAAAGAUUGGGCACCCAUGUUUCCAUCACCUAGUACAACUCCAAAGUGAGAUAUAAAAGAAGCUAGUGAUAACUUAGCUCAUAUUAACUAAACUAAAAUUUUAGCACUUCAAAAUAGCAUAUCCUUUCCAAGGUGAGAGUCAAGUUCAGAUCACACUGUUAGUGUUGUAACAAAACACUUAUCCACAUGUGGUGGAUCACGUCCACUUGAUAAUGCUAUCAUCCCUAGUUGGGCUACCAUAACUAUUUAUGACACAUAAAGCAAAAGCAUCCAAGCUCUAUCCACAAAUGGAUGUUAUCUUAACAAUUCACAUGAUAUUACAUACUAAAUUACUUGAGAGCAUUGGUAUGCAAAUCCUUUAUGUUUACACAAAUUAGUGAGCUGCCUCAAGUUGUAUAUCGAUCCAUAGUAUUCCAACAACUCAUGCAACACUACAAAUAAGUAACACAAUAUUAUAGAGUUAUUUUUAUGAAAAGCAAGAAAAGGACAAUAAUCCUUGACAUGUAAAGUGAAGCUUAUUAGAUUACCUAACCCAACACAAACAACAAAAUUAGUUGCACAAAGGUACAAAAAUCCACAUCAACCAUUAAAUCAAUACGUAAAGUGAGUAAUGAGUCACAUUAUCCAAUAAAAUAUCUAUCAAAGUAGUAUCGUGCAAGCAUUGAGAUCCCAUAAAUGCAAGAAACUCUACCAUCAAAGCUAUAAGUAAUUCUCAUGUGUUUGCUUUCAUUCAUCACAAAACAUCCUUCUAUUGCUACCAUCAAUAACCCUUCUGCUUAGUAGUAUAGGUACCAAAUCAGAUCUGCAACAUCAAUUAUUAUUGAAAUCCAACAACCAUGAAGGAGGUUCUUGUGGUUUUUGCUUUCAUGGCUCUAGUAUCGAGCGCUGCCUGCACACAGAUAGGCGGUUGCACCUGUGGUCCACAACAAAGCCAUGAACAACAACAUCAUCCACAAAAACAGCAACAUCAACCACCACCACCACAACAACAACAACAACAACAACAGCAUCACCAACAACCACAGCACCAACAACAAAAAGUUCACAUGCAGCAGAAACAACAUCACCAACAACAAGAUGUUCAUGUUCAUCAGCAACAAGAAGUCCAUGUGAAACAACAACCACAGCACCAACAACAACAUCAAUGUGAAGGCCAGCAACAGCAUCACCAACAAUCACAAGGCCAUGGGCAACAACAAGGACAGAGCCAUGAGAAACAACAUCAACAACAAUUCCAGGGUCAUGAGAAGCCACAACAACCACACCAGCAACAAUGUCAGGGUUAUGUGCACCAACAGCCACCGCAACAUCAACAAUGUCAACAGGGCCAGGAGCAACUACAACAGCAUCAAUGUCAUUGCCAAGAGCAGCCAUUGCAACAACCAAAGCACUGCCAAAAAGGGUGUGAGCAGCAACAAACUACAAGGUGCAGUUCUAGCUACUGUAGUGGUAGCAUAAAUCUAAAAAAUUGCCAUGAAUUCCUCAGGCAACAGUGCAACCCUUUGGUAAUGCCUUUUCUCCAAUCACAUUUGGUACAACCAAGCAACUGCCAAGUGUUACAACAGCAAUGUUGUCACGAGCUUAGGCAGAUCGAGCCACAAUACCUUCACCAAGCGAUCUAUAGCAUGACUCAAUCCAUAAUCCAACAACAACAACAACAACCAUGUGAGUUUUGUGGAGCUCAACUAGCUACUCAAAGUGAGGUGGCGAUAUUGACGGCAGCGCAGUACCUACCAUCAAUGUGUGGCUUGUACCACUCAUGCUACCAAAACAAUCCAUGUAGCAGUAAUGAUGCUUGUGGUGUUCACAGUUAAAUUAUUGUGGCUAGCUAGCCGUUAUAGUCUUAUAACGGUGUAAAGCAAUAAAAUGCCAUACAUCAUGGUGUUUGGACAACGAUAUCUAAAUAAGAAUACUAUCUAUAAUGUGGCAUGUGCCUGUGGUGUCAACAACCUAGUCUUUGUGGUCAUAGUAGAUAGGGUAGUUUGUUGUUGAGCAUGGUUGCGCAUAUUAGUCAGUGUGUGGACAUAUGUGGCAUGUGCCUAUGGUGUGAGCGACCUGGUCUUAGUGGUCACGAUAGAUAGGGUACUUUGUUGUUGAGGCAUUGGCUCCUAAUUGUAAUCCUAUUUCUAUGUACAUAAUCCUAGCAUCUAAGCAUGUAGUUGGCCACAAUCUCAUGAUCAGCCUCUAGUGCUUUGGCACCUCGAUAUCUACCGUGGCAUGUGCAUGUGGUGUUAGCAACCUAGUCUUAGUGGUCACAACAGAUAGGGUAGUUUUCUGUUGGGCCAUUGGCUCCUAACUGUAAUCAUAUUUCUAUGUACAUGAUCUUAGCAUAUAGGCAUGUUUUUGUGUACAUGAUCCUAGCAUCUAGGAAUGGUGGCUAGCCACAAUCUCACGAUCGACCUCUAGUGCUUUGGCACCUCCAUAUCUACUGGCACACUGUGACAAAUGGAAAUUGAGCAUUCUCUAAUUUCCCUCUCUUAUAAUGGGAAUGGCAAGGACUACACACUCUAAUUUAUCACGUCAUCUACUUCUGAGGGGAGCUCAAAAUAAUGAGGCCGGUGGAUCUAGUGUAGCUCAAGAUAAUAUUUAUUUACUAAUGACCACCAGCCACACAAAUGUUACACCUUCUCAUACAAAGUCUUUUGUUGAGAUGCAACAUAAAAUGGUUGCCAUGUAGACUCAUCUUAUCUAGAUGCAAAGAAAGUGAAAGGUCCUAAUAUGGCUAGAGGGGGGGUGAAUAGCCUAUUUAAAAAAAAUUCUACAAACUCACUAGAGCAAAAGGUUAGUAAAUAACAAAGCCAAGCUUUUUGCUCUAGCUCUAAAGGGGUGUUUGCAAGCCACCUACCCAACAAUUCAAGUUGCUAAGAUCUCUAUGCACACAAGAACUAAGACUUUACAAGUUACACUAGAGAACUAAGCUACACAAGUCAAAGUAAGCAACUAAACUAAUUACACUAGUUUGCGGUAAGUAAAGAUAAGAUGAGAUAUUUAUACCGCCGUGUAGGGGAUGAACCAAUCACCAAUAUAAACAAUCAAGCACCGGGAGAAUGCCAAUCAAACACAAUUGAGACACCGAUUUUUCUCCCGAGGUUCACGUGCUUGCCGGCACGCUACGUCCCUGUUGUGUCGACCAACACUUGGUGGUUCGGUGGCUAAGAGGUGUAGCACGAACCUCGUCCUCACUAGGACACCACAAAAACCUACCCACAAGUGAGGUAGCUCAAUGACACGAGUAAUCCACUAAUGUUGCCUUUGGCUCUCCGCCGAGGUAGGCACAAACCUCUCACAAUCACCGGGAGAUGGCCACGAACAAUCACCAACUCGUGCCAAUCCUCCUCCGCUGCUCCAAGCCGUCUAGGUGGCGGCAACCACCAAGAGUAACAAGAAAACCGCAGCCAAAUCGAUCCCCAAGUGCCACUAGAUGCAAUCACUCAAGCAAAUGCACUUGGAAUCACUCCCAAUCUCACAAAGAUGUUUAAUCUAUGAAGGAGAUGAGUGGGAGGAGUUUGCUUAGGCUCACAAGGAUGUCAAGUAUGUUAGAAUGCCAAGAGUAUGAGCCCCAAGCCGGCCAAACACAUAUUUAUAGCCCCUCAAACAAAUAGAGCCGUUGGCUCUUUCACUGGGCAAAACUCGGGGUCACCGGACGCUCUUAAAGGGGCACCGGACGCUCAACACCAGCGUCCGGUGCUCCAACAACAGCCGCGUGUCAGAGCCUAACGGUAACCUGCAGAGCACCGGACACAAGCCACCGGACGCACCCUCAGCGUCCGGUGCUCACCGGACCCAUGCGCAGAGGGUUCCGCAAACUCGCAGGUUCACCGGACGCAAGCCACCGGACGCACCCUCAGCGUCCGGUGCUCACCGGACCCAUGCGCAGAGAGGGUCGCAAAACGCACGCACACCGGACGCACACCACCGGACGCUCAAGCCAGCGUCCGGUGCCUAUCGUCCGGUGCCUUACCCUAGCUGGGCCAGGCACUGUCUGCACACCGGACGCUCAUACACAGCGUCCGGUGCCUCUAAGCCAGCGUCCGGUGAGUGUUUUCUCAGCGAGAAACACUCCCGCGACUUCACCAAAUUUCCCUCCGGCGCAAUAGAAAAUAUGCACUUCAUUUUCUCGAAAAGCGCCGAAUCCCGCCUCGCAAGCUCGGCGGGAGGGAGAGAGGAACCCAUCCUCUCUUAACCCUUCAAACUUCAACACCCUUCUCAAAGUGUGCCAACACCACAAUGUGUAAACCAACAUGUGCACGAGUGUUAGCAUUUUCACAAUCAUUUUCUUCGAAGGAGUUAAGUUAGCUCACUAGGUUUUAAAUGCAUGCACAUGAACAAUGACACCUAGUGGCACUUGAUAACCGCUUAGCCAAAGAAUUCCCCUCUUUAUAGUACGGCUAUCUAUCCUAAAUGUGAUCACACCCUCUAUGGUGUCUUGAUCACUAAAACCAAAACCCUAAGCAAUACCUUUGCCUUGAUCUCCAUAGGGUUUGUUUUUCUCUUUCUUCUUUUCUAAGUUGAGCACUUGAUCAUCUUGUGGUCAUCACCAUCAUCACCAUGAUCAUCACUUGCUCCAUCACUUGGCAUGUACCAACCUUAUUAAGUCUACACACACUUAGUAUAGAGGUUAGUACUUAGGGUUUCAUCAAUUAUCCAAAACCAAACUAGGGCUUUCAGAAAGGAGUCAAAGAAGUUUCGAUGCUUAGCAACAUUGUCCUGACAGCCAACACGAGGCUCUCACUUCAUCCAUUAGAGGGCAGAUGCCCUUCUUGACCAACCGAGGAAGGACCAUGCUAAGACAUCCUCUCAGUUGAACUAUAUGUAUCCACAGACAAGCCUUGGACCCCCUCGAUAUUGGCAAUCCUUAGCUUGAAUAAUUUUAUCACUAAUUUCCAUUCAAGAUAAGAAUUAAAUUACAAUCACGAUAGUCGAUAGUUAUAGGGUUUAAUUAUAAUCAGUUCUACAAGUUUGGCGGUCAUUUGAACUAGACAUUUUUUGCCCAAACAGGGGUCGGACAACCAAGCCCAUGGUAUGUUGAUGUUAUACCCGGUUUUAAGAAUAAAACAAGAAUCAAUUUGCAAACAUACAUCAACAUCAUAAGUGAAGAACAAUUUAUUAAAUAAGCAAAAAUAUAUAUUGGUUUUUGUUUCCUAAAAAACAAGUUUAGUCUAUGAAGAAUCAUAACUAAUUUAAUUUAGACCGGACAAAUACGAAGCUACUAGUUAUUUUUAAAACAUGAUACCUAUCAAUUGGUGAUCUAUUAAGGUCUAUUUUGGAACUUAUUAUUUUUUGUACAUAUUGUUUUGUUGCUCGUACUGAAACACUAAGAACAUGCACAAAUACAGUUCAAAUAACUCAAAAAGGAACACCAAUAGAUAGGUAACAUUUAAAGCAAAAAAUAUAAUUGUGACAUAUUUUUAUAAUUUGAGAUAAUUACUUAAGGGUCUGUUUGGAUAUCAACUACCAAAGCAGGAGGCCCUACCUAUAGUUCUCUCAAUUUGGCAGCGCCUCGUACGUGCUUGGUGCCAUAACCAGAUAACCAUGUUGUGCUGAUUGCAAAAAGAGCAUUGUGUGUACACUAAUCAGGGAUAGCAGAUAGUAGUGCGCAUUGUGACCGGUCUCAAGGCACCACUACUUGUCUAAAACAAGUCACAAGUUUCAAACGUCGGAGAUUGGUCAGUGGUCUCCUCUCCUGGUCGAGUAUUUCUAUUCUUUUCUUUUACUAGCAAAACGUGCCCGUGCGUUGCAACGGGGUAUAGAAUUUAUUAUUUGAUAAUUGUACACUUUUUGUAAAAUUUAAAUGAGUUUAGUCCAACCUGAAUCAAAUAAAUAUAACCCCACCAAAACAAACAAAACUACCAAACUAAUAUCGAAAAUCACCUUGAGAAGAAAUAGAAAAAAAAUCAUGUCACAUAAAAAAAUCAGAAAUCUUUAUGUACAGUGGAGGAAAAGGAGUAAAAAAUGAUAUAAAAAUAUGUAUAGAAAUUAAAAUGGGAAGAAUAUUACGUAAAGAAAACAUAAAAGCAUCAGAUGAGGGAACAAUUCCAUCAAACAGCACGUCAGAUCACUCCACUUUUAUUGUCGCUCAGUGCAAUCCAAAGCAAAACCCGCGGCACAGCUAGUGACAAAAGCCUACAGCCACAGCCGCCACAUAAUAAUACAAUUAAUAGGUAACGGUUCUCAACAUCCUUUCAUCAUAGCAUUUGUUUGAGACAUACAUGAACAAAGCAUAUGUAAUUCCGUAUGAUUAAGAGAAAAUACCUUGUGGCCAGCAUUGAUGCAUCACAAGAGAAGGAACAGCCGAUGAGAGGGCGAUCAUCUCCAAUCUCGCUAUACUCCAGGACAAACUUCUCAGCCUGCUUCACGACGAGUUCGGCCUCCGCCUCUAGGUCUUCAUCGGAAUCCUCGUGGCAGCGCUUGGCCAUCUCAAUCCUGGCCUUGGCACGGGGUAGCGAGUAUUGUGCAAUGUCGACACGCGCCUUGAGAAGCUCCUGUGUGCCCUUGGUGAAGAAGGGGUACUGGAUCUGCUCCUCCUCGCUGGUGCGUGCAGCGUGGUUGUCCUCCUGCGCGCGGAGACGGUCGACCUGGCCAUCGGCCUCGAGCCGGACCAUGAGGGCUCGGAGGCGGUCGUGGCGCUCCAUUUCGCGCUCGCCGAAGCGGCGGAGGCAGGCCCGCACGGCCAUGGCGUAGGCACGGCGCCGCUAGAGGAGCUCCUGCACCGAUUGCUCGUGACACUACCACGCGGCGCGGUGGUCGUCGGAGACCUCGUAGUCGGCCUCGCCUCUGCCCCUGGCGGAGGAAGUGGCGGCGGCGGGACGGUGAUGGGGAUUGGCAGGUGGACGGGGACGGGGAGCGGAGCCAUGGGAGGAGUGGGGGCCGGGGGCCACAAUUUUUUUUAAAAAAGUUGCUUUUCCUCAAUUUGGUAAUAUUGCAACGGAAGAAAAAUAUCAAAUAACCUUAGAAAGUGAUGACAUAAUGUUACAUAUCUAUUUAUAUUUAUCCUUUUUAUAAAAUUUAAAGUCCAUAAUUUAUUUUAUUAAUAACCAUAACAUCUAUGGUAUUAGAUAGUUAAUAUUUACAAUAAUAUGUAGCUUAAGGACAUAUUUAUUUAAUAAUAAAAAUAGAAAAUAGUUAAAUCUUAUCUCACUCUAAUAUUACCUCUUAAUAUGCCUCAGUAUUAUAUUAAAACAUGAGAAAUUUGAUGCUAGCAUUAUUUUUUAAUUUAGAUUAAGAUUGCUAUGAAAUAUGAAUCAAGCAUCACAUUAAAUAGGCUACCAUUAAAUUUUUAUAAUAAUUGGAGCAAGAUAACUAUAAUUUUAAUUUUACAGUAAAAAGCAUAGGCAAGCAUUUUCAAAAAAAAGUGUACUAAAAUUUAUGAUAUUUUUUGUUUACCGCAUGGAUCUACAUAUGUGGAGCUGAACAAAAUUUGUUUUAUAAUUUUUAGAUUUUUGUAUGAAUUAUUAUGUAUUUAUUAAUUUUCAGUCGAUUUAAAAAAUAAAAGAAAAGUAAAUUGGAGAUUUUACAUUGGGAACCUAGAAAAUUUUUUAUUUUUUUUCUCUCUUCCAUCGUAACGAUUCUGGGCUGAUUGGGCCUACAGAGAGGAGAGCGAAAGCGAAGUAAUAUGAGAUUUUACAUUAGGAACCCUAGAAUAUUUUUUAUUUUGUUUUUCCCCUUCUAGAAAAGUUGGAUGGAGGAGGCCAUCGGUAAACCGAACACGGACAAGAUCAGGGGCAAAAGAAAAUAUUUGGCAAACUAAAAUUUUGGCUCUUUAUAGAUAGGUAUAGAUUUGGGUUAAGAACAGUAGUCGGACAUUCCACUUUGUUAAGUUCUUUUUUUACAUAACAAGAAUAGAAUCACGCUCUGUAGGCUCGUCAGACCGUACCUUUCUAAGGAAGUCGCUUUGGGUAGUUCAGUUGGCGAGAAAAGCCUUCCUACCUUUGCAGGUCCAUCGGGCCGACUACAACCCGUGGCUCAAUCCCGGUUCUUGCGGUGUCUUGGCAACAUUCUUGUUGGAAGAUACCAGAAGGUUGCUCCACGGGUAAUCUUGACACGUAUGUAAAGUGAUGAGGAACAUUGAACGAACAUUGGCAUGUAAAGCUCUAUAAAUUGGUGUUAUCCAUAACAACUCGCAGAACAUCACAAAAUUGCACGUCAAGGGAUUGGGUCAGAAACAAAUCGUCUCCGUGUACAACGAAGUGGUGAGUCAUGAGCCAUGUUGAUCUGAUAUAUACAUAGCACACACGACAUCACAAACAAGUCAUACUACAUUACAGAGUUAGUUUCAACUUUCAAGUAAAAACAAAGUAGGCCGGAGAGAGGACAAUAAUCCUUGACGUGUAAAGUGAAUUUACAAAGCCAUAUAUCAAUUUAUAUCUAAUUCGUUUCAUGUAGAUAUCAACAACCUGUAAAAGGCAACAAAUUGAGCCACGCAAAAUUACAAGUGAGUCCAAAUAAACCCUCACAUGCUACAUAAAAGUGAAUGAUGAGUCAUGUAUAUCUGGCAAGAAACUGUAGAAGCUACAGUCAUCGGUAGCAAAGAAACACAAGAAAAUGUGCUAAUAAAAGCUAUAAAUAACCCUCGUACGCCUAUGCACAUCUCCAUCACCACCACUGGUCUUCAUUCAGCCUAUUAACUUAUAUCUAUCUACUCCAGAGCAGACAAGAACUCGACACCAUGAAGGUGUUGCUCGUUGCCCUCGCUCUCCUGGCUCUCGCGGCGAGCGCCGCCUCCACGCUUACAACCGGCGGCUGCGGCUGCCAGACACCUCAUCUACCACCACCGCCGGUUCAUCUGCCGCCGCCGGUGCAUCUGCCACCGCCGGUGCACCUGCCGCCGCCGGUUCACGUGCCACCGCCGCCACCACAAUGCCACCCACACCCUACUCUACCGCCCCACCCACAUCCAUGCGCUACAUACCCACCGCAUCCAAGCCCGUGCCACCCAGGGCAUCCCGGAUCCUGCGGUGUUGGCGGCGGCCCCGUCAC